AAAGAUCUGUACAAGGACGUCAUGAUGGAGGAUCACCGGCCCCUCACAUCACCAGUUAAGGAAGAGAGAAGAACACCAGCGAGAUGUCCCAGUCCUCUUCUUCUACAGGAUGGUUCGGAAGAAUAUCACAAUGUCCCACUGGAUAAUCAGUUAGAUGGAGAUAAGCUUGUGAAUCCGGGUGAAGAUCUGAACAAUAUUAAUCCUACAGAGAAAUAUG
Long non-coding RNA from Bufo bufo (common toad), 217 nucleotides. RefSeq lists it as uncharacterized. The transcript has 3 exons. NCBI's taxonomy places the organism in Eukaryota, Metazoa, Chordata, Amphibia, Anura, Bufonidae. The record is from RefSeq and is a predicted model, not a curated record.